CUGUGCCCUGCAGGCCGUCCACGUGGCAGGAAGGCCCCAGAAGGCUGCCUCCUGCCCUGCACACCACCCAGUCCAGUCGCUGAGGGCCCAGCAGAUAAGGACCGGAGAGGACGCCACUGUGCCUCUACUGGGCUGGGAUGCCCUCUCCCCUGGCCAGACACAGCCCUGGGACUCCAGCUCCUGCCAGCAGCCUUCCCACUCAGGACAGUGCCUCGGGCUCCCUGCCCCGCUCUGGGGCCAUGAGACUGGACCCCACUGCCUGCCCUGGCCUGAGGACAAGAGCCAAUCCCAACCUUCCCGUGAGUCCACGCACGGUUCCCAGGCUUGCUCUGCAGAACCCCAACACAGUGGCCCUUCGACAGGCUCCCCGAGUGCCCCAGGAUGCAGCCUGGCCUACCCUUGGCCCUGAGCUGCCCGCUCCCUGUAUGUGCCUUCAAAGCUUGUUCAAAGCUAUUUUUUUAAAGGAAAAUCCCGAUUUCUGGAUGUCACCCUGGGUUUCAUGUCCUGCUUGUCCCACCGGAUCCUGUGCCUUGCUGAGCACCAAAACCUGGCUCCUCAGAACCCCUGGGCCAGGCCCCGGGAGAAAGCGGCCCAAUCCCCUGAACGAAUGUCACUGGUAAGCCGGUGCAGUGGCCGCACCUGUCCCCCCAGCAAGUCAGAGGCUGAGGCUUGAAGACCCAAGCCCCAGGCCCACUCGGCAAAUCAGUGAGACCCUGUCUCCCCAUAAAGAAAGGGCUGGGUGUGGCUCGGUGGUAGAGCACCCUGAUAUAAUCCACGGUAUCAAAAACCAAACCAAACAAAAGGCCUGUCCAUGCUUGGGGAACCACUGACCCUCAGCAAGGAGGCCGUAGGGCCCCUGGUGCCAUCACCUCUCCUGCCCUCAGGACACGCUCCCCGGGGAGCUCUCUGUCCUGGAGACAUCAUGGCCCACUGCUCACACAUAACACCCAGGGCAAGGACCUCAACCCGUGAAGCCUGGGCUGCGACCGCCAGGCCUGUGACGGCCACCCUUGGUGACACCGCACCUGCCUGUGGAGGUGAGCACACCAGGGGGUCAACAGUGUGGCUGUGUGCUCUGGUCUGGAUUCGAGGGGCCUAAGCUCCUGUGUUAAUGCAGGAACAUCCAGGGGUAAGGUGGCUGGACAGAGCUACAGCCUGACUGUCCACCCUGUUCGAAUGGGCUGCCUGGGUGGGAGCUGGGGCUGCCCUGGGCAGUGUGUCUCCCCUGCAGCUCUCCCCCUCUCCCUCCGGGCUGCCCUCUCUGGAGCGGGGUCCUGCCCCAUGCCCUUCCACCACGGCACGCUGCCUCGCCUCAGGCCAGAGCAAGGGGCUGAGCGGACAUGGACCAAGCCUCUGAACCGCAGCCAAAAUAAAACCUUUC
RNAcentral lists this long non-coding RNA (1381 nucleotides) under Marmota monax (woodchuck). Lineage: Eukaryota; Metazoa; Chordata; Mammalia; Rodentia; Sciuridae. The record is from RNAcentral.